UACAGAGGGGGCAAGCGUUGUUCGGAAUUACUGGGCGUAAAGGGCGCGUAGGCGGCUAGGCAAGUCAGGUGUGAAAGCCCCGAGCUUAACCCGGGAAUUGCAUCUGAAACUGCUGUGCUUGAGUUCUGGAGGGGGUAGUGGAAUUCCCAGUGUAGCGGUGAAAUGCGUAGAUAUUGGGAGGAACACCUGCGGCGAAGGCGGCUACCUGGACAGAAACUGACGCUGAGGCGCGAAAGCUAGGGGAGCGAACGGG
Molecule: ribosomal RNA, 253 nt
Filed under: uncultured bacterium
Lineage: Bacteria
Description: partial 16S ribosomal RNA
Rfam family: Bacterial small subunit ribosomal RNA
Source: RNAcentral